Molecule: long non-coding RNA, 1465 nt
Filed under: Homo sapiens (human)
Lineage: Eukaryota; Metazoa; Chordata; Mammalia; Primates; Hominidae
Description: HSALNT0096588
Source: RNAcentral
UUUCCUGAGGUCUCCCCAGCCAUGCCAAACGAUGGCUUUUUCCAUGCUGCCAGGGAGGUGGUGCUGGCACCCUCAACUUCACACAUGUCAAUUUCUCAACCCCAGAAGAUAGAGGAGAACUCUCAUUAUCUGCAUAACAAUGCUGAAAAUAAUAAUGGACACGGUAUACAUUUCCUCAAGAGGAUCUAGUGACAAGGCACCAUCUUGGAAGCAGAGAAUAGCCCUCACUAGACUUUGAACAUGCCAAUGCCUUGAUCUUGGACUUCCCAGCCUCCAGAACUGUGAGGAAGAAAUUUCUACUGUUUGUAAAUUACAAGUCUCAGGUAUUUUGUUAUAGCAACACAAAUGGACUAAGACAUAUUAUAUUCCUCCAGACACAACCUCCAAGGGGAAAGCUUUAUGACACCAACUGCCUCAAACACUAAUGUUCAUUAUACCAUUUUGAAAUUAGGCAUUAUUUAGCAGAAUUAACUCCCUUUCCUUAUUAACAUCCAAUUCCUUGUGAAAACAUCCAGUGAAAAGAUUUAUUGCUUUGGGUAUCUUGUGGGAAGUUUUAUUCUGAAAGUUCAGAGUUGAAGCAGAUUCUGACAAAAUCACCACGCAGAUUUUGAGUAAGAACUCUACUUGUUGUAAAACAGUUUUCAAUAUGAAUAAAUCCAUAUUCUGUAAAGGAGAACAACAUUGUUAUAAACUGUAGCUUUAUUUUAUAUGGCAGUACUCAUAUGAGAGCCUGCCCACAGACAUGUUUACUAGGCUGCUGUAUUGACUUGACAUUGAUUCACCCAGCAUCAAAUAUCUUCUGAGCACCUCUGUGCGUCAGAACCUGUGCUAGGAUCCUGGCCUAUAACAUUGAACAAGACAGGGUUCCUAUUCAUUUGCAGCUAUGGUUGGAUGAGUAAUGGGUUCCCAAAGAUGUCUGCAUCCUAAUGCCUAGAAUUUGUGAAUGUUACCUUAUGUAGCAAAAGGGACUUUGCUGGUGUAACUACGUUAAGAGACAAGGGAGCCAUCCUGUAUUACCCAGUGGGCCUGAUGUAAUACAAGGGUCCUUAUAAGAGAGAUGCAAAAGGUAAGAGUCAUUAGUAAGAGAAAUGACAAUGGAAGCAAAGAUAUUAGAAUGAUUUGAGGAAGAGGUCAUGACCGAAGUGAUGUAGAUGGCUCCUAAAAGCUGAAAAAGGCAAGGAAUUGGAUUCUUCCCGGAAGUGCCCAGAAGGAACACAGGCCUGUUGAUUUUAGACUUCUGACCUCCAGAACUGUAAAUAAUACAUUUGUGUUGUUUUAAGCCGCUAAGUUUGUGGUAAUUUGUCAUAGCAGCAAUAGGAAACUAAUACAGAAGGUUACAUUCAAAAUGGGGGCAACACAUAAUAGGAAAGUCAAUCAGUAUUUUUCAGCAUUUUGUGGGGGGAUGGUUCUCCAUGUGCACAUCCACCCAGACAUCACGGUCACGCAGCCGCAUCCAUUAACUGUC